This 254-nucleotide ribosomal RNA is filed under the name uncultured bacterium. RNAcentral's name for it is "partial 16S ribosomal RNA". It matches the Rfam family "Bacterial small subunit ribosomal RNA", at positions 524 to 776 of the family's 1533-position model. The record is from RNAcentral.
UACGGAGGUCCCAAGCGUUGUUCGGAUUUAUUGGGCGUAAAGGGUGCGUAGGCGGCGGAGUAAGUUGGGUGUGAAAUCCCGGGGCUCAACCUCGGAAUUGCAUUCAAUACUGCUUCGCUUGAGUACUGGAGAGGAGGCUGGAAUUUACGGUGUAGCAGUGAAAAUGCGUAGAUAUCGUAAGGAAGGCCGGUGGCGAAAGCGAGCCUCUGGACAGUUACUGACGCUGAUGCACGAAGGCCAGGGGAGCAAACGGG